CACCACCAUCCACGCCAUGGACGUGGUCGACGCGGCGAUGCUCACAACUGUCAAAAAAAAAAACAGAAGUUACACCAUCGGAAGUAUAUACUCACGCAACUGAGAGGAAGUGAACAAGACUUGUGCUGCACUAAAGGAGGAACUCACACUGGACAGUCCUGGCCUUGUUGGUGCGCAGCAUGACAUAGAUCAUGAGUGUGAGCUGAGGCGCGCUCUCACAGAACGUCUCGAUGAGUCGCAGCAUGCUCAGGUCAUGGGUAAGGUAAACCGCAUACUCUGACCCUUCCGCUUUCCGCCACCACACUCUGAAGCCCUGACGUAUGGCCGAGAUGUGCCUGUGAGGAUGAACAUGUGAAAGAGGUCAUGUGACGAUGACUACACCGUGAGAACAUGACACACACACACACACACACAAAGUCAUGCAGCUUCUGACAAGAAUCAAACUGACAUUAGGAGUGAACAACAGCGACUUCAUGAACUCAUUGUUUGUGCAUUUUAUAAAUUCAGUCCCUUCACUUAAGAUCAGGUUAUCACACCUGACUUGUAUUCAUUACAACAGCACCUGUCAAAUCUGUACUGCCUACUUGACUGCAGUUUUCCCUGUGGGAAUAGAACUGCCACUGCAGUUAAGACUAAAAAUUAUUUUAUUUGCACCUUCACAAUUUUGAGAAUAGGCUGAUUUGUAUGUAUUGCUGCAGGGUUGCAACCACAAAUUAAUUAUUAUUAUCAAUCAAUCUAUCCACUUUUUUUUCACAAUUUUGUGAAGACAUUUUAAGAACCAAAACAAUACUGUAGACUGAGAAAAUAAGUGACACAAUCGUUGACACAGUGACACAAACAUGAUGGCUAUUAUUGAUUAAGCAUACUUUAUAUUGAUCAAUAAGAUUAAAAUAUACACCACAAUGUCAACUGCAAUUGCUCCAUUACAUUUAUAAAAAAAAGUAUUUAAUGUUUGUUUGUCAGGGUAUUGACCUGAAGAGGAAACCCAGCUGCAGCACAUGUAACAGGCAGAAGAUCUUCACUCGGUCCCCGAACAGCACGGUCCCUCCUCCGCUGUGAGAGGCAUUGAACCCCGGCAGCUCUCGGUCGUACUUAAACCAGAACCAGCUGAACAUCUGAACCACGACCGAAGAGAGGACCAUGAGGCCGACCAGCACCGCGAACCAGAGAAAGUCCCCGCGGCAGUAAAACUCGGUGGCCACCCACACGUCCGAGCCCCAGUCCACGAGGAAAGUGCAAACCCCGACCACAGAGAAGGCGAAGUCGAUCCAGGAGUAUUUCGAGAAGACGGGGCCCUCCAUGACGGAGCAACGUAGAUCGCAGCAGCAGCAGCAGCUAGCUGACCUGUUGCUGCGAGGCUAACAUUCAGCUAACACCGCGGACCGUUAUUUCUCUCCCAAACUGACUCCACAGUCUGGAUGAAGUUGUCUCAACUUUCAUAAUUUGGCAAGAGCGUCAAACGAUUUUCAUUAGAGCGACAUUAAAAUGUAGAAGUCAUUAUUUUCGGGCGGAAAAGUGUUUAUAAAUGUUAGAAAAAAAAAACAGCCCCCGCACAAGUUAGCAGCGUGUGUUCGUAUGUGGAGUUGUUAGCCCCGCCCACCGCGGCUCACUGGUACAGUCCAAGGGUUAGAACCCGAAUAACCAUUUCUAGAUUAAUCGAUUCGUUGUUUGGUCCAGGAAAUGUCAGAAAAUGUUUAUCAUCUUAAUGAUGUUUCCAAAUGUGUUGUUUUGUCCAAAAACUUCAGAUUCAAUUAUGUAUUUGUUUUAUUUAGCAAAGAAACCAGAAAAUAUAUACAUAGUAGCUGAAAACUCAGCCAGCUUGUUUUGAUUAUACCCCCCCCCCCGCCCCCCCCCCAAAAAAUUGAUUAGUCAUUUAUCAAAAUGUUGUCAAUUGUUAAUCAAUGAUUUGAUUAAUCGUUGCAGCCUUAAUUGGUCAUCAAUGGCCCUACUUCAAGCUCCCACAAACUAGAUAUAAAUGGAUUGAUCAAUUAGUCCUUUUAAAUUGUAGUUAAAGGUACAGUGUGUAAAAUUAAGCAAUAUUUAACAUUCACAAAAAUGUGCAUGUUGCAGCUGAAUGUUCCUUAUUUGGACUGUAGGGGGCUGCAUUACAUUUUUUUUACACAUUAUUUAAAGACAAUGCAAUAACAGAAACAUGUAGGUAGUUUUGCCCUUAAAAAGUCCAUUGUGUAAAAUUCAGGUGAAGGAAUUUAAUUUGGUGCUGAGUCAUUUCAAAGACAUAAUUCUCCAACUGUGUAACAAAUAUUGUUCUCCCAAAAAGAGGAAAUAAACAGCCCAAAUAUUA
This is a long non-coding RNA of Solea solea (common sole), 2302 nucleotides long. RefSeq lists it as uncharacterized. The transcript is spliced from 2 exons. The record is from RefSeq and is a predicted model, not a curated record. Lineage: Eukaryota; Metazoa; Chordata; Actinopteri; Pleuronectiformes; Soleidae.